CCUACGGGUGGCAGCAGUGGGGAAUAUUGCGCAAUGGGCGAAAGCCUGACGCAGCGACGCCGCGUGAGGGAUGAAGGUCCUCGGAUCGUAAACCUCUGUCAGCAGGGAAGAACGGUCACUGUGCUAAUCAGCAGUGAAUUGACGGUACCUGCAAAGGAAGCACCGACUAACUCCGUGCCAGCAGCCGCGGUAAUACGGAGGGUGCGAGCGUUAAUCGGAAUUACUGGGCGUAAAGCGCUCGUAGGCGGUAUGUCAAGUCAAGGGUGAAAUCCCCGCGCUCAACGUGGGAACUGCCUUUGAAACUGGCAGACUGGAGUGUGUGAGAGGAUAGUGGAAUUCCAGGUGUAGGAGUGAAAUCCGUAGAUAUCUGGAGGAACAUCAGUGGCGAAGGCGACUAUCUGGCACAUAACUGACGCUGAGGAGCGAAAGCGUGGGUAGCAAACAGGAUUAGAUACCCUGGUAGUC
RNAcentral lists this ribosomal RNA (465 nucleotides) under uncultured bacterium. RNAcentral describes it as "partial 16S ribosomal RNA". It matches the Rfam family "Bacterial small subunit ribosomal RNA", at positions 338 to 795 of the family's 1533-position model. The record is from RNAcentral.